Long non-coding RNA from Perca fluviatilis (European perch), 337 nucleotides. RefSeq lists it as uncharacterized. The transcript is spliced from 2 exons. NCBI's taxonomy places the organism in Eukaryota, Metazoa, Chordata, Actinopteri, Perciformes, Percidae. The record is from RefSeq and is a predicted model, not a curated record.
CUGGAGGGUGGGCCUAACAGAACCUGCAUCAGCGGUGAAUGGACCGGACAGAUGAGAUGCCUCAAACCCUGUAUUGUGAAUGAAGACCUCUAUAGACAACACAACAUUACUAUAAAAUCUAGUGACAGUACAUUUUUCCCUCAUGAUGAAAUAAUUGAGUUCAGGUGUGCCAGAGGAGUACCAGUCGGUGCAGUGGCAAUGCGUCAGAGGUGUAAUGGGGGUGUGAUUCUCCUGCCUACCUGCCAGUGAGAGUCAUCUGAAAGUAAUCUACAGAGCAUGCAGACUUAUCCUCCACUUUAACUGUGAACAUUAUAAUAAAACAUACUUGAUCUCUGUC